RNAcentral lists this ribosomal RNA (464 nucleotides) under uncultured bacterium. Its description in RNAcentral is "partial 16S ribosomal RNA". It matches the Rfam family "Bacterial small subunit ribosomal RNA", at positions 339 to 795 of the family's 1533-position model. The record is from RNAcentral.
CUACGGGUGGCUCCAGUGGGGAAUAUUGCACAAUGGGCGCAAGCCUGAUGCAGCCAUGCCGCGUGUAUGAAGAAGGCCUUCGGGUUGUAAAGUACUUUCAGCGGGGAGGAAGGGAGUAAAGUUAAUACCUUUGCUCAUUGACGUUACCCGCAGAAGAAGCACCGGCUAACUCCGUGCCAGCAGCCGCGGUAAUACGGAGGGUGCAAGCGUUAAUCGGAAUUACUGGGCGUAAAGCGCACGCAGGCGGUGUGUUAAGUCAGAUGUGAAAUCCCCGGGCUCAACCUGGGAACUGCAUCUGAUACUGGCAAGCUUGAGUCUGGUAGAGGGGGGUAGAAUUCCAGGUGUAGCGGUGAAAUGCGUAGAGAUCUGGAGGAAUACCGGUGGCGAAGGCGGCCCCCUGGACGAAGACUGACGCUCAGGUGCGAAAGCGUGGGGAGCAAACAGGAUUAGAUACCCGAGUAGUC